This 672-nucleotide ribosomal RNA is filed under the name uncultured bacterium. RNAcentral describes it as "bacterial SSU rRNA". It matches the Rfam family "Bacterial small subunit ribosomal RNA", at positions 8 to 700 of the family's 1533-position model. The record is from RNAcentral.
AGAGUUUGAUCCUGGCUCAGAAUGAACGCUGGCGGCGUGCUUAACACAUGCAAGUCGAACGAUGAAGCCCAGCUUGCUGGGUGGAUUAGUGGCGCACGGGUGAGUAAUAUAUAGAUAACGUGCCUCUUAGUCUGGGAUAGCCAUUGGAAACGAUGAUUAAUACCGGAUACUCCUUCUAACUCUAAUGUUAGUCGGGAAAGUUUUUCGCUAAGAGAUCGGUCUAUAUCCCAUCAGCUUGUUGGUAGUGUAAGAGACUACCAAGGCUAUGACGGGUAGCGGGUUUGAGAGGAUGAUCCGCCACACUGGUACUGAGACACGGACCAGACUCCUACGGGAGGCAGCAGUGAGGAAUAUUGCACAAUGGAGGAAACUCUGAUGCAGCAACGCCGCGUGGAGGAUGACGCAUUUCGGUGUGUAAACUCCUUUUAUAUGUCAAGAAAAUGACGGUAGCAUAUGAAUAAGCACCGGCUAACUCCGUGCCAGCAGCCGCGGUAAUACGGAGGGUGCAAGCGUUAUUCGGAAUCACUGGGCGUAAAGGACGCGUAGGCGGGUUGGAAAGUCAGAUGUGAAAUCCUACAGCUUAACUGUAGAACUGCAUUUGAAACUUCUAAUCUAGAGUAUGGGAGGGGGAGAUGGAAUUAGUGGUGUAGGGGUAAAAUCCGUAGAUAUCAC